This is a long non-coding RNA of Felis catus (domestic cat), 1359 nucleotides long. RefSeq lists it as uncharacterized. NCBI's taxonomy places the organism in Eukaryota, Metazoa, Chordata, Mammalia, Carnivora, Felidae. The record is from RefSeq and is a predicted model, not a curated record. The transcript has 4 exons.
AUUUAACCAUUAUUGGGCACCUUCUGUAUGCCAAGCGCUGUGCUGGAUGUGAGGCUCCAGAGACACAUAAGAAUCUGUCCUCGUAGCAGUUAGGACCCCAGCAGAAGAUAGAUGGAGCUUCAAAUUGGGUCAUUUGAGGAGAACGUAGUCAGAGUUUAGGGAAACCACAUGGGAGAGUGUAGACCCCUGAGGCUGGUGAUAGUGGGAAUGAGUAUCCUGAGCCCUGACAUGGGUGAGGCUGGGAGGUAUGGCUGCUGGAACAUGGGAGAACAAGAAGGACUAGCAAGCUAUGUAGAGAUGCUUCCUGACGUUGUGGUCUUCAGUCAAGGGCUGAAGUCAGUCCUGAAGCCAUUAGUCAGCUGAUGGCAAUCUAGCAAGGAGGGAGCUGGGGAAUCAAUACCUUGACCUCACUCUCCUUACCCUACGGUGCUCUUUUCCAAUCACUCGGAAGCCAGUCGGGGAGGAAGCCACUUGGUGAAGUGUAUAUGCCAGCCUCCUGGAGCCGAGCGGGAAGGAGAAAGGUAGAGUGGACCCAGAUGGGCAAAUAAAAGGUUGAAGAUAGAGUGUGGCAACGAAGGUCAUGCCAUCUGUAGAGGAGCCCCUUUAACUGGCUGCAGUGUUUAGAGACUUCACACCAAGCCUUUGCUCCAUGAAGUGUGUCCCCAAGAUUGACCCGGAGCCUAUUCUACAGGAGAUAACCCCCGCUGGGGUGAUGAAUGUGUACGUUCAGACGAGGGAUCCAGAAGCGGAGGAAUGACGCUUUCCAGAAGGACGUGUCAGGGUUAAUUACGAAGGAAGUAACUAAAGUACAGAGGACCAGGGAAGCGGUAAUUGGCAUUAACCACCCCCUCCCCCCACAGCAAGAAUAUGUCAUGUAAAUGACGACCGCUAACAAUAAAGCAUGACUUACUGAGCUGUCAAACAUUUCUUAUGGCUGGAUAUAAUCUUGGACAUACUACUGAAAACCAGUGAAUUCCUGGAUCCAUCCAGCCGUUGUGCCCUCCUGCAAGCUGGACAGCCUACUGCAGCCUUCGGCAACAGUUCCUGCAGAAUAACUUCUGUAGCUGUGUUUUGGAUUUGUAAGAUUUGCUUGAUAAGGACUGGUGAUGUUCUCUAGGACACGACGUCUGUCUUUGAGAGGCUGGCAUGGAGGAGGCAGAGCGGUGAAGCGGAGAGAAUGUGACCUUGGAGUCAGACGGACCUAUUUUGAUUUCUUACCGCACCCAAUCAAGAUCAUUAACUUCUGUGAACGUUCAUCACAGUCUUAAAGGAAGAUAAUAGCUCACUCUGUGUGGUUCCUGUGAAGACUGGACGGGACCUUACACACUGCUUGCCCCAUUCCACAUUCAUGACGAAAUA